GUAAGGAAUAUUGGUCAAUGGACGAAAGUCUGAACCAGCCAUGCCGCGUGGAGGAUGAAGGUCCUCUGGAUUGUAAACUUCUUUUAUAUGGGACGAAAAUGGGGCUUUCUAGCUCAACUGACGGUACCAUAUGAAUAAGCACCGGCUAACUCCGUGCCAGCAGCCGCGGUAAUACGGAGGGUGCAAGCGUUAUCCGGAUUCACUGGGUUUAAAGGGUGCGUAGGUGGAUUGGUAAGUCAGAGGUGAAAUCUCCGGGCUAAACUCGGAAACUGCCUUUGAUACUAUCAAUCUUGAAUAUUGUGGAGGUUAGCGGAAUAUGUCAUGUAGCGGUGAAAUGCUUAGAUAUGACAUAGAACACCAAUUGCGAAGGCAGCUGGCUACACAUAUAUUGACACUGAGGCACGAAAGCGUGGGGAUCAAACAGGAUUAGAUACCCGAGUAGUCC
RNAcentral lists this ribosomal RNA (445 nucleotides) under uncultured bacterium. Its description in RNAcentral is "partial 16S ribosomal RNA". It matches the Rfam family "Bacterial small subunit ribosomal RNA", at positions 354 to 796 of the family's 1533-position model. The record is from RNAcentral.